RNAcentral lists this ribosomal RNA (515 nucleotides) under uncultured bacterium. Its description in RNAcentral is "partial 16S ribosomal RNA". It matches the Rfam family "Bacterial small subunit ribosomal RNA", at positions 28 to 523 of the family's 1533-position model. The record is from RNAcentral.
GAUGAACGCUGGCGGCGUGCCUAAUACAUGCAAGUCGAGCGAAUGGAUUAAGAGCUUGCUCUUAUGAAGUUAGCGGCGGACGGGUGAGUAACACGUGGGUAACCUGCCCAUAAGACUGGGAUAACUCCGGGAAACCGGGGCUAAUACCGGAUAACAUUUUGAACCGCAUGGUUCGAAAUUGAAAGGCGGCUUCGGCUGUCACUUAUGGAUGGACCCGCGUCGCAUUAGCCAGUUGGUGAGGUAACGGCUCACCAAGGCAACGAUGCGUAGCCGACCUGGGAGGGUGAUCGGCCACACUGGGACUGAGACACGGCCCAGACUCCUACGGGAGGCAGCAGUAGGGAAUCUUCCGCAAUGGACGAAAGUCUGACGGAGCAACGCCGCGUGAGUGAUAAAGGCUUUCGGGUCGUAAAACUCUGUUGUUAGGGAAGAACAAGUGCUAGUUGAAUAAGCUGGCACCUUGACGGUACCUAACCAGAAAGCCACGGCUAACUACGUGCCAGCCGCCGCAGUAA